RNAcentral lists this ribosomal RNA (431 nucleotides) under uncultured organism. RNAcentral describes it as "bacterial SSU rRNA". It matches the Rfam family "Bacterial small subunit ribosomal RNA", at positions 29 to 507 of the family's 1533-position model. The record is from RNAcentral.
AACGAACGCUGGCGGCAGGCUUAACACAUGCAAGUCGAGCGCCCCGCAAGGGGAGCGGCAGACGGGUGAGUAACGCGUGGGAAUCUACCCUUUUCUACGGAAUAACGCAGGGAAACUUGUGCUAAUACCGUAUAAGCCCUUCGGGGGAAAGAUUUAUCGGGAAAGGAUGAGCCCGCGUUGGAUUAGCUAGUUGGUGGGGUAAAGGCCUACCAAGGCGACGAUCCAUAGCUGGUCUGAGAGGAUGAUCAGCCACAUUGGGACUGAGACACGGCCCAAACUCCUACGGGAGGCAGCAGUGGGGAAUAUUGGACAAUGGGCGCAAGCCUGAUCCAGCCAUGCCGCGUGAGUGAUGAAGGCCCUAGGGUUGUAAAGCUCUUUCACCGGUGAAGAUAAUGACGGUAACCGGAGAAGAAGCCCCGGCUAACUUCGUG